CAGCCGCCGCGGUAAUACGUAGGGUGCGAGCGUUAAUCGGAAUUACUGGGCGUAAAGCGAGCGCAGACGGUUACUUAAGCAGGAUGUGAAAUCCCCGGGCUCAACCUGGGAACUGCGUUCUGAACUGGGUGACUAGAGUGUGUCAGAGGGAGGUAGAAUUCCACGUGUAGCAGUGAAAUGCGUAGAGAUGUGGAGGAAUACCGAUGGCGAAGGCAGCCUCCUGGGAUAACACUGACGUUCAUGCUCGAAAGCGUGGGUAGCAAACAGGAUUAGAUACCCUGGUAGUCCACGCCCUAAACGAUGUCAAUUAGCUGUUGGGCAACUUGAUUGCUUAGUAGCGUAGCUAACGCGUGAAAUUGACCGCCUGGGGAGUACGGUCGCAAGAUUAAAACUUAAAUGAAUUGACGG
RNAcentral lists this ribosomal RNA (408 nucleotides) under beta proteobacterium enrichment culture clone LiUU-16-338. Its description in RNAcentral is "bacterial SSU rRNA". It matches the Rfam family "Bacterial small subunit ribosomal RNA", at positions 509 to 916 of the family's 1533-position model. Lineage: Bacteria; Pseudomonadati; Pseudomonadota; Betaproteobacteria. The record is from RNAcentral.